Molecule: ribosomal RNA, 433 nt
Filed under: uncultured bacterium
Lineage: Bacteria
Description: partial 16S ribosomal RNA
Rfam family: Bacterial small subunit ribosomal RNA
Source: RNAcentral
AACGAACGCUGGCGGCAUGCCUAACACAUGCAAGUCGAACGAGACCUUCGGGUCUAGUGGCGCACGGGUGCGUAACGCGUGGGAACCUGCCCUUAGGUUCGGAAUAACUCCCCGAAAGGGGUGCUAAUACCGGAUAAUGUCUUCGGACCAAAGAUUUAUCGCCUUUGGAUGGGCCCGCGUUUGAUUAGCUAGUUGGUAGGGUAAAAGCCUACCAAGGCGGAGAUCCAGAGCUGGUCUGAGAGGAUGAUCAGCCACACUGGGACGGAGACACGGCCCAGACUCCUACGGGAGGCAGGAGUGGGGAAUAUUGGACUAUGGGCGAAAGCCUGAGCCAGCAAUGCCGCGUGAGUGAUGAAGGCCUUAGGGUUGUAAAGCUCUUUUACCCGGGAUGAUAAUGACAGUACCGGGAGAAUAAGCACCGGCUAACUCCGUG